AACGAACGCUGGCGGCAUGCCUAACACAUGCAAGUCGAACGAGAUCUUCGGGUCUAGUGGCGCACGGGUGCGUAACGCGUGGGAAUCUGCCCUUUGGUUCGGAAUAACAGUUGGAAACGACUGCUAAUACCGGAUGAUGACGAAAGUCCAAAGAUUUAUCGCCAGAGGAUGAGCCCGCGUAGGAUUAGCUAGUUGGUGUGGUAAAGGCGCACCAAGGCGACGAUCCUUAGCUGGUCUGAGAGGAUGAUCAGCCACACUGGGACUGAGACACGGCCCAGACUCCUACGGGAGGCAGCAGUGGGGAAUAUUGGACAAUGGGCGAAAGCCUGAUCCAGCAAUGCCGCGUGAGUGAUGAGGGCCUUAGGGUUGUAAAGCUCUUUUACCCGGGAUGAUAAUGACAGAACCGGGAGAAUAAGCUCCGGCUAACUCCGUGCCAGCCGCCGCGGUAA
Molecule: ribosomal RNA, 449 nt
Filed under: uncultured bacterium
Lineage: Bacteria
Description: partial 16S ribosomal RNA
Rfam family: Bacterial small subunit ribosomal RNA
Source: RNAcentral